Molecule: ribosomal RNA, 492 nt
Filed under: uncultured bacterium
Lineage: Bacteria
Description: partial 16S ribosomal RNA
Rfam family: Bacterial small subunit ribosomal RNA
Source: RNAcentral
AUUGAACGCUGGCGGCAUGCUUUACACAUGCAAGUCGAACGGUAACAGGCCUUCGGGUGCUGACGAGUGGCGCACGGGUGAGUAAUGCAUCGGAACGUGCCCAGAGGUGGGGGAUAACGCAGCGAAAGCUGUGCUAAUACCGCAUGUGAUCUGAGGAUGAAAGCGGGGGACCAGGCAGCAAUGUUUGGCCUCGCGCCUUUGGAGCGGCCGAUGUCAGAUUAGGUAGUUGGUGGGGUAAAGGCCUACCAAGCCGACGAUCUGUAGCUGGUCUGAGAGGACGACCAGCCACACUGGGACGGAGACACGGCCCAGACUCCUACGGGAGGCAGCAGUGGGGAAUUUUGGACAAUGGGCGCAAGCCUGAUCCAGCAAUGCCGCGUGCGGGAAGAAGGCCUUCGGGUUGUAAACCGCUUUUGUACGGAACGAAAAGGCUCUGGCUAAUACCUGGGGCUGAUGACGGUACCGUAAGAAUAAGCACCGGCUAACUACGUG